UCGCCUCCCAGGGCAAGCGCAGGUGCGUUCAGUUUCCCACAGCUAAAACAGCUCUCGCUUCAGAAGGGACGACAGAACCAGAGAUGUUUAUUCUGGAUCGUGGCCCUGGAAUACAGAUUCGGGUUACCCCAAAUAUCAUGUUCCAGCGUGGUAACAGUUUCACGGAGUUUCCAUAGUAACAGAACAAAGAAAGUCAAAAAGGAACACUCCUUUCUAAUAGGUAGGAACACCAGCAAGGCGGGUAUGACAAGGGAACCUCAGAUGCGGUCUGCUGGGGGUCUCAGCGUUCAGGUUGGAAGGAGCUAGAGAUCUGUUUGCAUCAAUAGGUCCCCCACACAGAAGUGGGCAACAUGUGGCUAUGUACUGGCUAAAGUGGCUCAAGAUCAUUUGGCUCGGGACCUGCAACACUCCAACUCUCCACAAUCCCUGAACUGUGACUUCUUUCUAGAGCCUAACGUAGGUUAAGGGUUCCACCACCCCACCGAAAAAUGCUGGUAGAGCCACGGGCAUCUAUGGAAAAUCUGACCCUCCUCUCCGGUCCCUCCUGCCUAAAAGAUGACGUCCAGACAGUUCCAGGCUGACUCCGCAGGUGGAGAGCCAGUCAACAGCUACCCUGCACUGGAUCAUUUGAUAACUUCUGGGAACUUCAGUUCCUCCCGGUGAAACAGAACACUAGUACUUGAAAGACUAAGAGGGUGAACUGUGGUCAGGGACUUGGACAGUCCCUGACAGAAACGUAUUUUACUUGGCCUCCCUUAGGGAAGGAUCCAGAGGGCUUGGGUUAUAAUAAAAUGCAAAUAUUUAAAUUAAGGUGGGCGAAAGAGGCGUAGGUGAAACCAGGAAAGAGUCCAACAUGAUAAUUGCAGUAAUUACACCAGGAGUCAACCCCUGAAGGGAGCGGACCACUUGCUGAGGUGAGACAGUAGAGGGCUGGGGUGUGGCCGAAGCCUGGCUUCUGAGCCUGGAAGGGAUCACCUGGACAUCUUGUUAAAAUGCAAACUCCAUUCAGCAGGUCCAGGGUGGGCCAGAUAACCUGUUCUAACCAGCUCUAGGUUGGACUGCUCCCCGGCUGGAAUAUCCUGACUGUGAGGGAAAGCUAAGAGUCCCUCAGACUCAGGGAGCCCUGUAAAGCAGAUGGGUUGAGCUGGGGAUGAAGUGCCCUUGUGAAUGCUGUUGCCCCUGCCUGAGGCUGAAGUCCAGGAGUUGGGAACAAGCCGAAUAAAUUGGAAGGAGGCAGCUUUGGAAGGCCUUUCAUGCCACGAUCCCACUUAGCACUCCAGCAUGUAGGAGUGGGGAGAGAGCUUGGUUUGACACCCUCAAAACCCUUGGCAUCAUGUACAGGAGGAACUAGAGGAGGCCUGCCCUGCUCUCUGCCUGGCAGGGGUUUCUACGGCAGACCUGCCUGAGUAGGAGAGGGCCAUACUCAGCCAGGGGUCCAAAUGAGCCCAAUUAUGUUUCCAGGAUCAGAGGACAUGGCCAAUGGAUUGUCUAAACAGAGGUUACACUCACCCUGAAUGUUCCAACAGAUGUUCCCAGUCUGUCCAGGGAUAGUCUGGUCUAGCCCAGCUCGUGGGCAGAACAGGCCCAGAGCAUGGAGCUGUACCAGAACCAGCCAGGGGCCAUGGUCUCCCUAUGGCAACUUUCCAAAAGAGACCUAUUAGGGGGACCUGGAAGGGGAAAAAUGGCUCAUUAAAGUUGAACUUUGCCACUCA
Long non-coding RNA from Peromyscus eremicus (cactus mouse), 1712 nucleotides. RefSeq lists it as uncharacterized. NCBI's taxonomy places the organism in Eukaryota, Metazoa, Chordata, Mammalia, Rodentia, Cricetidae. The record is from RefSeq and is a predicted model, not a curated record. The transcript is spliced from 2 exons.